Molecule: small nuclear RNA, 116 nt
Filed under: Myotis brandtii (Brandt's bat)
Lineage: Eukaryota; Metazoa; Chordata; Mammalia; Chiroptera; Vespertilionidae
Source: RNAcentral
GUGCUCGCUUUGGCAGCACAGAUACUAAAAUUGGAAAGAUACAGAGAUUAGCAUGGCCCCUGCGCAAGGCAAACACAAAUUUAUUAAUCAAUGGCACUCCAAUGCAUUUAAUUUUU